RNAcentral lists this ribosomal RNA (397 nucleotides) under uncultured bacterium. Its description in RNAcentral is "partial 16S ribosomal RNA". It matches the Rfam family "Bacterial small subunit ribosomal RNA", at positions 523 to 918 of the family's 1533-position model. The record is from RNAcentral.
AUACGUAGGUGACAAGCGUUAUCCGGAUUUACUGGGCGUAAAGGGCGUGUAGGCGGUCUUGCAAGUCAGAAGUGAAAUUCCUGAGCUCAACUCGGGCGCUGCUUCUGAAACUGCAGGACUUGAGUGCUGGAGGGGAUAGCGGAAUUCCUAGUGGAGCGGUAAAAUGCGCAGAUAUUAGGAGGAACACCAGUGGCGAAGGCGGGUAACUGGACUGUAACUGACGCUGAGGCGCGAAAGUGUGGGGAGCAAACAGGAUUAGAUACCCUGGUAGUCCACACUGUAAACGAUGAAUGCUAGGUGUAGGGGGUAUCGACCCCUUCUGUGCCGCAGUCAACACAAUAAGCAUUCCGCCUGGGGAGUACGGCCGCAAGGUUGAAACUCAAAUGAAUUGGCGGGG